GCUGGUGUAGCUCAGUGGUAGAGCGGCUCACUCGUAAUGAGCAGGUCGUGGGUUCAAUCCCCACCGCCAGCU
This 72-nucleotide transfer RNA is filed under the name bacterium. RNAcentral describes it as "tRNA-Thr". It matches the Rfam family "tRNA". Rfam says of the family: Transfer RNA (tRNA) molecules are approximately 80 nucleotides in length. Their secondary structure includes four short double-helical elements and three loops (D, anti-codon, and T loops). The record is from RNAcentral.